UGGGGAAUUUUGGACAAUGGGGGAAACCCUGAUCCAGCCAUCCCGCGUGUGCGAUGAAGGCCUUCGGGUUGUAAAGCACUUUUGGCAGGAAAGAAACGUCGCGGGUUAAUACCCCGCGAAACUGACGGUACCUGCAGAAUAAGCACCGGCUAACUACGUGCCAGCAGCCGCGGUAAUACGUAGGGUGCAAGCGUUAAUCGGAAUUACUGGGCGUAAAGCGUGCGCAGGCGGUUCGGAAAGAAAGAUGUGAAAUCCCAGAGCUUAACUUUGGAACUGCAUUUUUAACUACCGGGCUAGAGUGUGUCAGAGGGAGGUGGAAUUCCGCGUGUAGCAGUGAAAUGCGUAGAUAUGCGGAGGAACACCGAUGGCGAGGGCAGCCUCCUGGGAUAACACUGACGCUCAUGCACGAAAGCGUGGGGAGCAAACAGGAUUAGAUACCCUGGUAGUCCACGCCCUAAACGAUGUCAACUAGCUGUUGGGGCCUUCGGGCCUUGGUAGCGCAGCUAACGCGUGAAGUUGACCGCCUGGGGAGUACGGUCGCAAGAUUAAAACUCAAAUGAAUUGAC
This 566-nucleotide ribosomal RNA is filed under the name uncultured bacterium. RNAcentral's name for it is "partial 16S ribosomal RNA". It matches the Rfam family "Bacterial small subunit ribosomal RNA", at positions 355 to 914 of the family's 1533-position model. The record is from RNAcentral.